UGUAAAUAACUUUGGAGAAAUAUUGACAUAUGAUCAAUUUCUUCUUAACAUCGAUAGUGGUCAUAUUAAACAAUGAUUGAUGACGUUUGUUUAACCGGAGAUGAUCACGUGACACGCGGAAGGACAACUCGACCGAACAACGACCUAUCAAUGAGGAUCGCGGAGUGAUACACUGCUAAUAAACGAAACCACGCGACACGCGUGCGCGGAGAAGAGGAGACACUGACGACACGGCGGCACGGCCCACCAUGGUCCCGGGUUACCAGGCCACAUGGAGAGGACACGUGUCAUUUCAUCGGUUUAUGUGAGGUGACAGUCGGCCGUCGUCUCCUUGACAGGACCACCGGGACUAAUAGGAUGGUUUGUGUGCGGGGGGGGGGCGUUUGUGGCAUAUCGAGAAGUCAACGUGGGUGCUGAUGCUGAGGAGGAGAUGGGACUAUAAUGAGGGCUGUGUGCCUGGAGGCUCUGUGGCUCCCGAGAAAGUCUUGCUACCUGUAUUGGAGAGAAGGAUCCACUUUGGAGGGUGCUGGGGGGGCAGUGUUAUCUUCUUGUCACAAAGCCCAAUUCUGCAAAAGACAGGACAUCAUGUAAAACUCAGACAGCAAUGAUUUGCCUUCACUCCCCGGCGUAGGCCAAGACAGGAAGUUCUUAAUCCACCCCCACCCCCCUCCCUGCUUGCACACCACCGAUUGAUAAUCACAUGUUUACAAACAUUAUAAGGUCUGUUUUUUAUUUUCCAAGAUGGUGGGUUGUGUUUGUAGCCCAUCUGUUGGGGUGCAGAGGUGUACACAGGCGACCGAAAAAAAACCACACAUACAAAAGCCAGCGUCUGCAACGCGCAUAUGCUUCACACACGCGCCCACACGACACUUGCCCACACACCCAACACGACCGAGACCCCGAUUGAGUCACUUGGAUUUUUAAUUAGGGUUUGACAUCAAUUCUAUGCUCCAAACUCGUUGGGCCACUUCAACGAGAAAUCAGAGCUCAUUAGUGUUGCUUCCACUUGGACUUUAUUUUUAACUUUAGCCACCACCAACUGUUGGCUGCUUGGUGUCGCUAUAGCGACCAGUGGAAGGAACAUCCUCUGAGAAUUUUGUACAAGAAAUGCAGCCUAAUUAAGACUGAAGCUUCAUUUGUGUGUGUUGCUCUUUUUUAUGUCCUUUUAAAGGGUCGUAUAUGCUGAAAUUUAACAGAUGGCUGUGUUCAGGUGACCUUUGACCUGCUUUUUUUUUUUUGGGUUAA
Molecule: long non-coding RNA, 1245 nt
Organism: Syngnathus typhle (broad-nosed pipefish)
Lineage: Eukaryota; Metazoa; Chordata; Actinopteri; Syngnathiformes; Syngnathidae
Exons: 3
Source: RefSeq, a predicted model, not a curated record